Molecule: ribosomal RNA, 497 nt
Filed under: uncultured bacterium
Lineage: Bacteria
Description: partial 16S ribosomal RNA
Rfam family: Bacterial small subunit ribosomal RNA
Source: RNAcentral
GAUGAACGCUGGCGGCGUGCCUAAUACAUGCAAGUCGAGCGAACAGAUAAGGAGCUUGCUCCUUUGACGUUAGCGGCGGACGGGUGAGUAACACGUGGGUAACCUACCUAUAAGACUGGGAUAACUUCGGGAAAUCGGAGCUAAUACCGGAUAACAUUUGGAACCGCAUGGUUCUAAAGUGAAAGAUGGUUUUGCUAUCACUUAUAGAUGGACCCGCGCCGUAUUAGCUAGUUGGUAAGGUAACGGCUUACCAAGGCAACGAUACGUAGCCGACCUGAGAGGGUGAUCGGCCACACUGGAACUGAGACACGGUCCAGACUCCUACGGGAGGCAGCAGUAGGGAAUCUUCCGCAAUGGGCGAAAGCCUGACGGAGCAACGCCGCGUGAGUGAUGAAGGGUUUCGGCUCGUAAAACUCUGUUAUUAGGGAAGAACAAACGUGUAAGUAACUGUGCACGUCUUGACGGUACCUAAUCAGAAAGCCACGGCUAACUACGUG